ACAGUUGGAAACGACUGCUAAUACUCUAUACUCCUGCUUAACACAAGUUGAGUAGGGAAAGUUUUUCGGUGUAGGAUGAGACUAUAUAGUAUCAGCUAGUUGGUAAGGUAAUGGCUUACCAAGGCUAUGACGCUUAACUGGUCUGAGAGGAUGAUCAGUCACACUGGAACUGAGACACGGUCCAGACUCCUACGGGAGGCAGCAGUAGGGAAUAUUGCGCAAUGGGGGAAACCCUGACGCAGCAACGCCGCGUGGAGGAUGACACUUUUCGGAGCGUAAACUCCUUUUCUUAGGGAAGAAUUCUGACGGUACCUAAGGAAUAAGCACCGGCUAACUCCGUGCCAGCAGCCGCGGUAAUACGGAGGGUGCAAGCGUUACUCGGAAUCACUGGGCGUAAAGGGCGCGUAGGCGGAUUAUCAAGUCUCUUGUGAAAUCUAAUGGCUUAACCAUUAAACUGCUUGGGAAACUGAUAGUCUAGAGUGAGGGAGAGGCAGAUGGAAUUGGUGGUGUAGGGGUAAAAUCCGUAGAUAUCACCAAGAAUACCCAUUGCGAAGGCGAUCUGCUGGAACUCAACUGACGCUAAGGCGCGAAAGCGUGGGGAGCAAACAGGAUUAGAUACCCUGGUAGUCCACGCCCUAAACGAUGUACACUAGUUGUUGGGGUGCUAGUCAUCUCAGUAAUGCAGCUAACGCAUUAAGUGUACCGCCUGGGGAGUACGGUCGCAAGAUUAAAACUCAAAGGAAUAGACGGGGACCCGCACAAGCGGUGGAGCAUGUGGUUUAAUUCGAAGAUACGCGAAGAACCUUACCUGGGCUUGAUAUCCUAAGAACCUUUUAGAGAUAAGAGGGUGCUAGCUUGCUAGAACUUAGAGACAGGUGCUGCACGGCUGUCGUCAGCUCGUGUCGUGAGAUGUUGGGUUAAGUCCCGCAACGAGCGCAACCCACGUAUUUAGUUGCUAACGGUUCGGCCGAGCACUCUAAAUAGACUGCCUUCGUAAGGAGGAGGAAGGUGUGGACGACGUCAAGUCAUCAUGGCCCUUAUGCCCAGGGCGACACACGUGCUACAAUGGCAUAUACAAUGAGACGCAAUACCGCGAGGUGGAGCAAAUCUAUAAAAUAUGUCCCAGUUCGGAUUGUUCUCUGCAACUCGAGAGCAUGAAGCCGGAAUCGCUAGUAAUCGUAGAUCAGCCAUGCUACGGUGAAUACGUUCCCGGGUCUUGUACUCACCGCCCGUCACACCAUGGGAGUUGAUUUCACUCGAAGCCGGAAUACUAAACUAGUUACCGUCCACAGUGGAAUCAGCGACUGGGGUGA
RNAcentral lists this ribosomal RNA (1313 nucleotides) under Salmonella enterica. RNAcentral's name for it is "bacterial SSU rRNA". It matches the Rfam family "Bacterial small subunit ribosomal RNA", at positions 146 to 1483 of the family's 1533-position model. The record is from RNAcentral. Lineage: Bacteria; Pseudomonadati; Pseudomonadota; Gammaproteobacteria; Enterobacterales; Enterobacteriaceae. RNAcentral also lists the same sequence under 1 other name.